This is a long non-coding RNA of Nicotiana attenuata, 628 nucleotides long. RefSeq lists it as uncharacterized. The record is from RefSeq and is a predicted model, not a curated record. NCBI's taxonomy places the organism in Eukaryota, Viridiplantae, Streptophyta, Magnoliopsida, Solanales, Solanaceae. The transcript is spliced from 5 exons.
AGAAAGUGUAUUUCUCACGCAAAUUAGGACUCUCACUUUCCCAGUAAACGUUUUUUUCUCUCCCCUGCGGCGAUUUAUCAGAUCGCCAUAGCCGGCCGCUCUCUCUUUUCUCCUCUUCUACUCUCUCCUUUACUACUCCUCUUCUCGCUGAGGCCUUCAAUUUCAAACGCCGUGACAUUCAAGGCCAGUAGAACCUUUGAGUGGGAAGAAAUGGCGAAUCUGUGGUCUACGAUGAAGCCCCCAUAGAGUUUGCUAAACUCCGUCACCGUCACGCCUUCAGCAAUUCAAACUCCUAACUCCAAAUAAAGCUCAGUUAGGAGGUGGUAUUCCUAUAUCUAAAAGAGCAAAGGAUUUGGUGACAUUAUUGGAUAUCAAUAUCCUGCCUUUACAGGUUAUACAGAGGCAUACACCAUUCGGAUAGUUGAGGCAUUCAAAACAUAUAGCAAAGCUGAAGUUGCGCUGCAUAACAAGAGGAUUGACUGCUGGAUCAUUAUCAAAGAAAAGGUACUUGAUUCAAGAAGUGGACGGCACUUGAAGAUGUUCAAACGGGAGUAAUAAUGCGUAGUAUGCGUGCGACCAUUAGUCAUUAUUGUUAGGAUUGACUUAUGUUUUCCUUUAAUCUUGUUAA